CCUGACGCAGGAUGAAUACAAGGUAAAUGUUCUUAGCCUUUUUCUUUUUAGCUUACAGAAAACUUUCACUGCGGGAAAUGGCUUUUAGUACGAGGAUAUAUCUGUAAUUAUAUUUUUAUCGUGCUCAUUGAUUAAUUUCCUUGUUAUAAAUAAGCCUAUGUUUUUUUUUUUAAAUUACAUCAGACGUGAAAUAGGCUCACCGCAACCUAAAUACCUGGUGAGUCCAUGUCUGUUCCAAAACAUAAAUUAAUGCAACAAUUAAUACAUGUAUGUGAAGUUGAUGACAGCCAGAAAAACAAACUUGAAAACGUGAAAAAAUAACUUUAUUUGUCAAAGGGAACAUUAUCAACACUGUUUUUCAACAAUCCAAACAAUGCAUCACUGCACUGUGUAGAACACAGCAUGUGGGAAGAUCUUAGUAUUUACCGAUGCUGCUUUCACUCCACUUCCCAGGUGAUUAUACAACUCCCAGGCAUAUGUAGUUCUCCUGCAGUAUGCUACAUAAUGCCCAAGAUAAUCCUGGGUCAGUCCUGGUUCAAAGGCAAUGACUGCUCUCAAAGUAAAAGUCUUCUCUUUUAGCUCCAGACUGGAGGGAAAUUCAAGCAAGGCAACUUCCUUGCAACUGCUACCAAGAUGGACACUGGGAAGGAUUUUCAAUUGGCCUGAGGCAGAGAGUCAGGAAGGCUGAGUCCCUCUUCAGCAGCAGUCUGAAGAUAAGCCAUGCCACAGUGGAGAUGUAGCAUUGUGCAUCAAUUUGGAGAGCACCAGAGGUCAGGAGGACAGGUUUGAAUAUUUCCCCAGCAGUUCUAGCAGUGAGUAUACCUGUGGGUUCACACCCUGUGUUGU
Molecule: long non-coding RNA, 846 nt
Organism: Syngnathus acus (greater pipefish)
Lineage: Eukaryota; Metazoa; Chordata; Actinopteri; Syngnathiformes; Syngnathidae
Exons: 3
Source: RefSeq, a predicted model, not a curated record